This is a long non-coding RNA of Mastomys coucha (southern multimammate mouse), 449 nucleotides long. RefSeq lists it as uncharacterized. The record is from RefSeq and is a predicted model, not a curated record. Lineage: Eukaryota; Metazoa; Chordata; Mammalia; Rodentia; Muridae. The transcript has 2 exons.
AACAGGGCCGACCUUACAGGACUCCAUGUUGGAGAACUGCCCUUCCUACCACUCACUGAAGAGCAUCUCUGAAUUUAUGAAUAGAGAAGAACGUGCUAAUGAUCAGAGCAGCUGCCUGCUGAUGUGUGUUGAGGAUGCAGGGGAUACACUCCCAACUUCAUCCUGGUAUGCUGUGUUGAAGAACUGCCUGAUACCUUCAACUCUCUGAGAAUAUUCAACAUGCUUCAUGAGAGAGAAAUAUAUUUUAGAUCCAUCCAGACUGUUGAAAUGAUGUUUCCUGAAACAUCUGACUGAUGUCAUUGGAUGGAGGUUUAGUCCAAGAACAUUGACUGUUUCCACAAUGCUUGUCUCUUCUUGGUUGCUAUUGCUGUAUAUUUACUAGAGAUGUUAGUAGAAGAGAGAGAUUUCAUGGGGCUAAGAAUAAAGGUCUCUCUGUGAAAUACCCAGAA